CGCGUAGGCCGUUGAGUUAGUUAAUUGUGAAAUCCCAAAGCUUAACUUUGGAACUGCAAUUAAAACUGCUCGACUAGAGUUUGAUAGAGGAAAGCGGAAUACAUAGUGUAGAGGUGAAAUUCGUAGAUAUUAUGUAGAACACCAGUUGCGAAGGCGGCUUUCUGGAUCAACACUGACGCUGAGGUGCGAAAGUAUGGGUAGCAAAGA
This 207-nucleotide ribosomal RNA is filed under the name uncultured bacterium. RNAcentral's name for it is "partial 16S ribosomal RNA". It matches the Rfam family "Bacterial small subunit ribosomal RNA", at positions 568 to 774 of the family's 1533-position model. The record is from RNAcentral.